This 351-nucleotide ribosomal RNA is filed under the name uncultured bacterium. Its description in RNAcentral is "bacterial SSU rRNA". It matches the Rfam family "Bacterial small subunit ribosomal RNA", at positions 917 to 1271 of the family's 1533-position model. The record is from RNAcentral.
GGGCCCGCACAAGCGGUGGAGCAUGUGGUUUAAUUCGAUGAUACGCGAGGAACCUUACCAGGGCUUAAAUGGGAAAUGACAGGGGCAGAGACGCCCCCUUCUUCGGACAUUUUUCAAGGUGCUGCAUGGUUGUCGUCAGCUCGUGCCGUGAGGUGUCAGGUUAAGUCCUAUAACGAGCGCAACCCCUACCGUUAGUUGCCAGCGUGUAAUGACGGGGACUCUAACGGAACUGCCGGUGCAAACCGUGAGGAAGGUGGGGACGACGUCAAAUCAUCACGGCCCUUACGUCCUGGCCACACACGUGCUACAAUGGUACUUACAAUGGGAAGCAAAGAUGCAAGUCCUAGCCAA